RNAcentral lists this small RNA (17 nucleotides) under Arabidopsis thaliana (thale cress). RNAcentral describes it as "ATSL168150". The record is from RNAcentral. Lineage: Eukaryota; Viridiplantae; Streptophyta; Magnoliopsida; Brassicales; Brassicaceae.
AAAAAUACAAAAAAAAC